Molecule: ribosomal RNA, 425 nt
Filed under: uncultured bacterium
Lineage: Bacteria
Description: partial 16S ribosomal RNA
Rfam family: Bacterial small subunit ribosomal RNA
Source: RNAcentral
GUGGGGAAUAUUGCACAAUGGGGGAAACUCUGAUGCAGCGACGCCGCGUGAGUGAAGAAGUAUUUCGGUAUGUAAAGCUCUAUCAGCAGGGAAGAUAAUGACAGUACCUGACUAAGAAGCCCCGGCUAACUACGUGCCAGCAGCCGCGGUAAUACGUAGGGGGCAAGCGUUAUCCGGAUUUACUGGGUGUAAAGGGAGCGUAGACGGAAUGGCAAGUCUGAAGUGAAAUCCUGCGGCUUAACUGCAGAAUUGCUUUGGAAACUGUCAAUCUGGAGUGUUGGAGAGGUAAGCGGAAUUCCUGGUGUAGCGGUGAAAUGCGUAGAUAUCAGGAAGAACACCGGAGGCGAAGGCGGCUUACUGGACAAUAACUGACGUUGAGGCUCGAAAGCGUGGGAAGCAAACAGGAUUAGAAACCCUGGUAGUCC